RNAcentral lists this ribosomal RNA (115 nucleotides) under Brucella cytisi. Lineage: Bacteria; Pseudomonadati; Pseudomonadota; Alphaproteobacteria; Hyphomicrobiales; Brucellaceae. The record is from RNAcentral.
CCUGGUGGUUAUGGCGGAGCGGCUGCACCCGAUCCCAUUCCGAACUCGGCCGUGAAACGCUCCAGCGCCAAUGGUACUUUGUCUCAAGACACGGGAGAGUAGGUCGCUGCGGUCU